UGGGGAAUUUUGCACAAUGGGGGAAACCCUGAUGCAGCGACGCCGCGUGAUUUAGAAGGCCUUCGGGUUGUAAAAAUCUUUUGUAUAGGAAGAAAAUGACAGUACUAUACGAAUAAGGACCGGCUAAUUACGUGCCAGCAGCCGCGGUAAUACGUAGGUCCCGAGCGUUGUCCGGAUUUAUUGGGCGUAAAGCGAGCGCAGGCGGUUAGAAAAGUCUGAAGUGAAAGGCAGUGGCUCAACCAUUGUAGGCUUUGGAAACUGUUUAACUUGAGUGCAGAAGGGGAGAGUGGAAUUCCAUGUGUAGCGGUGAAAUGCGUAGAUAUAUGGAGGAACACCGGUGGCGAAAGCGGCUCUCUGGUCUGUAACUGACGCUGAGGCUCGAAAGCGUGGGGAGCGAACAGG
Molecule: ribosomal RNA, 402 nt
Filed under: Bacteroidota bacterium
Lineage: Bacteria; Pseudomonadati; Bacteroidota
Description: Bacteroidetes bacterium partial 16S ribosomal RNA
Rfam family: Bacterial small subunit ribosomal RNA
Source: RNAcentral